Molecule: ribosomal RNA, 250 nt
Filed under: uncultured archaeon
Lineage: Archaea
Description: partial 16S ribosomal RNA
Rfam family: Archaeal small subunit ribosomal RNA
Source: RNAcentral
GGCAGCUCGAGUGAUGAUCACUAUUAUUGGGCCUAAAGCGUCCGUAGCCGGUUGAACAAGUCCUUCGGCAAAUCCACUCGCUCAACGAGUGGGCUCUCGAGGGAAACUGUUCGACUUGGGGCCGGGAGAUCUGAGGGGUACGUCUAGGGUAGGAGUGAAAUCCUGUAAUCCUAGACGGACCGCCGGUGGCGAAAGCGCCUCAGAAGAACGGACCCGACGGUCAGGGACGAAAGCUAGGGUCUCGAACCGG